AGUAAAUUUAGUUAGUACUAUAAAUAAAAAAAUACCAAGUUUUCUUAUUUUAUUCAGUCAAUCAAAAAAUCAAUUUAAAAGUUUCUUAAAUCAAAUUGUUUAAGCUAAAUUUAGUACGUUUGAACAAAAAGUAAAAUUAUCCAAUAUAUUACUUAAUUAUUAUUAUUAUAAAGUCGUGGUAAUAAAAUAGAAAUGUAAUAAUGUGUUAAUAAAAUAGGAACUUAGUCCAUUCUCAAAAAUUUUCAAAUUUUGUCUGUUGAGGGUUGUUCUUCGACAAAUUGUUUUCGACCUCCCUCGAUUUCUUGCCCUGCGGCUUCCAUUCUAAUUCGGAUUCGACCAUACAUUUGCACUCGUUUUCCCUGAGCACGCCAUAAAUAAGCCAAGAUAACCAUUUUGCCCACCUUCUGAGAGAUUAUACAUAAGUACAUUUAUUUUACCUAACACCACAUUCAUUGACUUAUCUCACCAAUUAAAUCAGAAUGGAUAUCAUAACAGUUUAUCAACCGCUUCUGCUAAAAAUUAUAAAAUCAGUUAAAUGAAAAACAAAACAACAGUUAGAGAGGAUAUACAGCGAGAGAGAGAGAGCGCAUUCGCAGUCACAGAGCACGGGAGCACGAUGUAACGUAGCGAAGAGCGAAGUGCUGAUAUUAAUUAACAGCACUGCAAAGGCUAAUGUAAGCAACAUUGCAGGGAUGAGAUUGCAAUCCGCACUUUACAUGCUGUUGAACAUUUUAUUACUACAACACCAAUAAAGCUAACUUUUACGGCUUCAAGCCGCAAACAAAACCAGUUGGCAAACAUGAAAAUCGUCUUCCAAGCAUAGAGAGACAAGUCCUCCAUCCGGCAUGUGUGCGCGUAUGUUGGUGUGCGUAUAUUUUCGAAUGUGCCGAAGUGCAGAGGAACCUUUGCGCAAGCAUUCGGUGAGUGUUUGUUCUACGAGAGUGAUUUGACACCGUGCGUAUUCUUUCAAUGCCACAUCGCCAAAUGCAUAGAAGUCCAUUAAAAUACAUAAUGCGUAUGCAAGUGUGUAUGUAGGCAUGACACGCGGCACAGUUUGGUGUAAGCAACGACAGCAAUGAAAGCGACGUAACCGACCCUCUCCCGUUCGGUGAUUGUCAGAAAUUACUUGUGGCGGAAAUAUUUAAUGAUCCUUUCUGACUUAAUUCCUGCAAACUUCUAUACAUUUUUUCCCGCACAUUACAUUCUCCUUUGUCUAGAUAUUAAUUUCGCUUUUGGAUUUUAGCGAAAGGACAAAGUAUAGAUAUGUAUGUAUGAAUCUCUCACAUAAAAAAAUAUAUGUAAAUAAGACAAGAGCAUAGGAAGCCAGUGCCUCAAGAAGGGACGAAAACUGGCGCAGGGCGGUGCUGGCAGCAGCGAGUGAGCGCUAAAAAGCAGAAAUUACGUGAGCAACGACACCAAGUGGCGAAAUGCACAAACAUAUACAUAUACACAUAUGUAUGUAAGUAUAUGCUACUUAAAAAUAUGUUGCGUGCUAGGAAGGGCCGCAAUAAAUGAGUGAAAUUGAAUGCAAUACACGAAACAAUAAAGUGCCGCCGAAAUGAGUUUCUUUUUCACUAGCUAAGCUUAAAAUACGAAAAACGUUCUAGGCGGUGAAAAAAUUUGAAGAUGAGGAACUGUAAGCAUUACUAUAUGAAGAUUGUUGCUAAACGCAAGAAGAGCUCGCAAAAUCUCUGGGGGUCCCUCAAGCAACGUUUUAAAAUCGUUUAAAAGAAAUUGGAUGUCAUAUGAAUUGAAGCCGAGAGACAUUGAAAGACGAUUUUGCACGUCAGAAAUCCUGCUUAUACGUUACAAAAAAAGUUCGGUCGUCAUCGGAUUGUGAUAUAGUCUAAAAAGCAAAACCAACGGCAAAUCCGAAAAUCCAUGACGCCAUGGUAAUGCUCUGUAUUUGGUGCGAUCAGAAGGAUGUGCUGUAUUAUGUGCUUAUAAAACCGGGUGGAACCAGUAAAAGACCGGUUAAAUACUAUUUGGAAAACGUCUGCUGGAAAGUUUUGCCUCACGAAGGCCCAGACCUUGCCUCUUCUGACUACCAAUUGUUCUGGUCGAUGUUGGAAUACAGUUCACAUCAGAAUGGCAUUAAGUCGUUGAGUAUUAAAAAUUGGCUUGAUUCAUUCUUGAUUGCCGAGGCACAGUUCUUUUGGGAUGAAAUUUACAAAUUGCCAGUAAGAUGGGAAAAUAUUAUAGCUUCAGAUGAGAAAAUACUAGAAACAAUACUAUCGUAAAUGUUUUUCUUAAUUAAACGUUCAAAUUUUGGAAAAAAACCCGCAAUAUAAAUAGUUAUAAACCCUA
Bactrocera oleae (olive fruit fly) is the source of this 2307-nucleotide long non-coding RNA. RefSeq lists it as uncharacterized. The record is from RefSeq and is a predicted model, not a curated record. Lineage: Eukaryota; Metazoa; Arthropoda; Insecta; Diptera; Tephritidae.